Molecule: long non-coding RNA, 195 nt
Filed under: Fukomys damarensis (Damara mole-rat)
Lineage: Eukaryota; Metazoa; Chordata; Mammalia; Rodentia; Bathyergidae
Description: lncRNA (ENSFDAG00000025822.1)
Source: RNAcentral
CUGUGCUUGGCACUACUGCUGUGAAAGAAAGUUUUGUUGUUGUUGUUCUUGGUACCGGGGAUCAAACUCUGGAUCUUGCACUUGUGAGAUUGGCGGCAGAACCACUGAGCUAAAUCCUGAGACCGAGAAGAAAUUCUUCUUAUCCAAGCCUCUUGCCACGUGUGAAGUAUAGAUGCCCUCUGCCUCCUCUGUCCC